RNAcentral lists this long non-coding RNA (650 nucleotides) under Dermacentor andersoni. RNAcentral describes it as "uncharacterized LOC126544518". Lineage: Eukaryota; Metazoa; Arthropoda; Arachnida; Ixodida; Ixodidae. The record is from RNAcentral.
UUAUGAUGCUUACACCGACCGUGCUCUACCAUGACCACAACAACCGCCAUGUUGAAAAGAAAAACAUUUUAGUUGCGUAUCUUCUCAUGAUCGGCUGAAACCUCUAUGGCUCAAACAAUAAUAAUCAUAUAGCAAGAAAUUUAAAUUAUGUCAAAUAAAAGUGAAAUAAAAUUGUUACCUCACAUAGAUAGCGUAUUAUUUAUUAAUAGCGAGAAACUUCACAAAUACGAAACUGUGGAAACGUGACGGCGUAGUUCGGCAGCCAUAUUAACAGCGAGCUGUUCGAGCGAGGCAUGGAGCGAAGCGUGCGCGGUUGUGAAGAUUUUUCUAGAGGAACCUGUGGUGUCAUUGCCUGCGUAACCUCAUUUAAGUAGUAUUAGUGUUGGACAUUUUCACCCUUGGAAGACGGCAUGAUUACAGGCCAAUGGAUGGCACCUGCUUUUAACACCGACUACGCGGCUUUGUGGACCCAUCGUGUGUGGAAUGACGUGCGCACUUUUCCCUGCUCUUGAUUCUGCCAUUUGGAGAUGGUGAUGUGCAAGAGUUACGAAAUGUGUAAACGUGUGCAAGGUCAUCAAGGGAGCAUUCAAGACGUUUCAUCGCUAAACACAAGCUCAAGUGUUCUAAUAAAUGUCAAAUUUCAACACCAA